RNAcentral lists this ribosomal RNA (580 nucleotides) under uncultured bacterium. RNAcentral's name for it is "partial 16S ribosomal RNA". It matches the Rfam family "Bacterial small subunit ribosomal RNA", at positions 355 to 932 of the family's 1533-position model. The record is from RNAcentral.
UGGGGAAUUUUGGACAAUGGGCGAAAGCCUGAUCCAGCAAUGCCGCGUGUGUGAAGAAGGCCUUCGGGUUGUAAAGCACUUUUGUCCGGAAAGAAAUCCUUGGCUCUAAUACAGUCGGGGGAUGACGGUACCGGAAGAAUAAGCACCGGCUAACUACGUGCCAGCAGCCGCGGUAAUACGUAGGGUGCAAGCGUUAAUCGGAAUUACUGGGCGUAAAGCGUGCGCAGGCGGUUUGCUAAGACCGAUGUGAAAUCCCCGGGCUCAACCUGGGAACUGCAUUGGUGACUGGCAGGCUAGAGUAUGGCAGAGGGGGGUAGAAUUCCACGUGUAGCAGUGAAAUGCGUAGAGAUGUGGAGGAAUACCGAUGGCGAAGGCAGCCCCCUGGGCCAAUACUGACGCUCAUGCACGAAAGCGUGGGGAGCAAAACAGGAUUAGAUACCCUGGUAGUCCACGCCCUAAACGAUGUCAACUAGUUGUUGGGGAUUCAUUUCCUUAGUAACGUAGCUAACGCGUGAAGUUGACCGCCUGGGGAGUACGGUCGCAAGAUUAAAACUCAAAUGAAUUGACGGGGUCAUAGCUG